Molecule: ribosomal RNA, 393 nt
Filed under: uncultured bacterium
Lineage: Bacteria
Description: partial 16S ribosomal RNA
Rfam family: Bacterial small subunit ribosomal RNA
Source: RNAcentral
AUACGGAGGAUGCAAGCGUUAUCCGGAUUUAUUGGGUUUAAAGGGUGCGUAGGCGGUUUGCUAAGCGGGAGGUGAAAUGCCGGCGCUCAACGUCGGAAGUGCCUCCCGAACUGGUGGACUGGAAUGACUCUGCCGUGGGAGGAAUGUGUAGUGUAGCGGUGAAAUGCUUAGAGAUUACACAGAACACCGAUUGCGAAGGCAUCUCACGAAGGGUUGAUUGACGCUGAGGCACGAAAGCGUGGGGAUCAAACAGGAUUAGAUACCCUGGUAGUCCACGCAGUAAACGAUGAUGGCUAACCGCUGGUUUAUUCGGAUCAGUGGCCAAGCGAAAGCGAUAAGCCAUCCACCUGGGGAGUACGACCGCAAGGUUGAAACUUAAAGGAAUUGGCGGGG